Molecule: ribosomal RNA, 253 nt
Filed under: uncultured bacterium
Lineage: Bacteria
Description: partial 16S ribosomal RNA
Rfam family: Bacterial small subunit ribosomal RNA
Source: RNAcentral
UACGAAGGGGGCUAGCGUUGUUCGGAAUUACUGGGCGUAAAGCGCACGUAGGCGGCUCGGUCAGUCAGGGGUGAAAUCCCAGGGCUCAACCCUGGAACUGCCUUUGAUACUGUCGAUCUGGAGUAUGGAAGAGGUGAGUGGAAUUCCGAGUGUAGAGGUGAAAUUCGUAGAUAUUCGGAGGAACACCAGUGGCGAAGGCGGCUCACUGGUCCAUUACUGACGCUGAGGUGCGAAAGCGUGGGGAGCAAACAGG